UGGUCGAUGCCCGAGCGGUUAAUGGGGACGAACUGUAAAUUCGUUGGCAAUAUGUUGUUGGUUCAAAUUCAGCUCGGCCUA
Molecule: non-coding RNA, 81 nt
Organism: Lupinus angustifolius (narrow-leaved blue lupine)
Lineage: Eukaryota; Viridiplantae; Streptophyta; Magnoliopsida; Fabales; Fabaceae
Source: Rfam